RNAcentral lists this ribosomal RNA (511 nucleotides) under uncultured bacterium. Its description in RNAcentral is "bacterial SSU rRNA". It matches the Rfam family "Bacterial small subunit ribosomal RNA", at positions 15 to 518 of the family's 1533-position model. The record is from RNAcentral.
GAUCCUGGCUUAGGAUGAACGCUAGCGACAGGCUUAACACAUGCAAGUCGAGGGGCAGCACGGGAGUAGCAAUACAACUGGUGGCGACCGGCGCACGGGUGAGUAACGCGUAUGCAACCUACCUAUCAGAGGGGAAUAACCCGGCGAAAGUCGGACUAAUACCGCAUAAAACAGGGGCACCGCAUGGUGAUAUUUGUUAAAGAAAUUCGCUGAUAGAUGGGCAUGCGUUCCAUUAGGUAGUUGGUGAGGUAACGGCUCACCAAGCCGACGAUGGAUAGGGGAACUGAGAGGUUGGUCCCCACACUGGUACUGAGACACGGACCAGACUCCUACGGGAGGCAGCAGUGAGGAAUAUUGGUCAAUGGGCGGGAGCCUGAACCAGCCAAGUCGCGUGAAGGAAGAAGGAUCUAUGGUUCGUAAACUUCUUUUGCAGGGGAAUAAAGUGCAGGACGUGUCCUGUUUUGUAUGUACCCUGAGAAUAAGGAUCGGCUAACUCCGUGCCAGCCGCCGC